UUUCAACGGAGAGUUUGAUCCUGGCUCAGGACG
This 33-nucleotide ribosomal RNA is filed under the name Kribbella antiqua. RNAcentral's name for it is "Kribbella sp. VKM Ac-2541 partial 16S ribosomal RNA". Lineage: Bacteria; Bacillati; Actinomycetota; Actinomycetes; Propionibacteriales; Kribbellaceae. The record is from RNAcentral.